RNAcentral lists this ribosomal RNA (829 nucleotides) under uncultured Stenotrophomonas sp. RNAcentral's name for it is "bacterial SSU rRNA". It matches the Rfam family "Bacterial small subunit ribosomal RNA", at positions 53 to 870 of the family's 1533-position model. The record is from RNAcentral. Lineage: Bacteria; Pseudomonadati; Pseudomonadota; Gammaproteobacteria; Lysobacterales; Lysobacteraceae.
ACAUGCAAGUCGAACGGCAGCACAGGAGAGCUUGCUCUCUGGGUGGCGAGUGGCGGACGGGUGAGGAAUACAUCGGAAUCUACUUUUUCGUGGGGGAUAACGUAGGGAAACUUACGCUAAUACCGCAUACGACCUACGGGUGAAAGCAGGGGAUCUUCGGACCUUGCGCGAUUGAAUGAGCCGAUGUCGGAUUAGCUAGUUGGCGGGGUAAAGGCCCACCAAGGCGACGAUCCGUAGCUGGUCUGAGAGGAUGAUCAGCCACACUGGAACUGAGACACGGUCCAGACUCCUACGGGAGGCAGCAGUGGGGAAUAUUGGACAAUGGGCGCAAGCCUGAUCCAGCCAUACCGCGUGGGUGAAGAAGGCCUUCGGGUUGUAUAGCCCUUUUGUUGGGAAAGAAAUCCAGCUGGCUAAUACCCGGUUGGGAUGACGGUACCCAAAGAAUAAGCACCGGCUAACUUCGUGCCAGCAGCCGCGGUAAUACGAAGGGUGCAAGCGUUACUCGGAAUUACUGGGCGUAAAGCGUGCGUAGGUGGUCGUUUAAGUCCGUUGUGAAAGCCCUGGGCUCAACCUGGGAACUGCAGUGGAUACUGGACGACUAGAGUGUGGUAGAGGGUAGCGGAAUUCCUGGUGUAGCAGUGAAAUGCGUAGAGAUCAGGAGGAACAUCCAUGGCGAAGGCAGCUACCUGGACCAACACUGACACUGAGGCACGAAAGCGUGGGGAGCAAACAGGAUUAGAUANCCUGGUAGUCCACGCCCUAAACGAUGCGAACUGGAUGUUGGGUGCAAUUUGGCACGCAGUAUCGAAGCUAACGCGUUAAGUUCGCC